GAGGGGGACCUUCGGGCCUCUUGCCAUCAGAUGUGCCCAGAUGGGAUUAGCUUGUUGGUGAGGUAACGGCUCACCAAGGCGACGAUCCCUAGCUGGUCUGAGAGGAUGACCAGCCACACUGGAACUGAGACACGGUCCAGACUCCUACGGGAGGCAGCAGUGGGGAAUAUUGCACAAUGGGCGCAAGCCUGAUGCAGCCAUGCCGCGUGUAUGAAGAAGGCCUUCGGGUUGUAAAGUACUUUCAGCGGGGAGGAAGGUGUUGUGGUUAAUAACCGCAGCAAUUGACGUUACCCGCAGAAGAAGCACCGGCUAACUCCGUGCCAGCAGCCGCGGUAAUACGGAGGGUGCAAGCGUUAAUCGGAAUUACUGGGCGUAAAGCGCACGCAGGCGGUCUGUCAAGUCGGAUGUGAAAUCCCCGGGCUCAACCUGGGAACUGCAUUCGAAACUGGCAGGCUUGAGUCUUGUAGAGGGGGGUAGAAUUCCAGGUGUAGCGGUGAAAUGCGUAGAGAUCUGGAGGAAUACCGGUGGCGAAGGCGGCCCCCUGGACAAA
This 550-nucleotide ribosomal RNA is filed under the name Salmonella enterica subsp. enterica. RNAcentral's name for it is "bacterial SSU rRNA". It matches the Rfam family "Bacterial small subunit ribosomal RNA", at positions 202 to 737 of the family's 1533-position model. RNAcentral also lists the same sequence under 2 other names. The record is from RNAcentral. Lineage: Bacteria; Pseudomonadati; Pseudomonadota; Gammaproteobacteria; Enterobacterales; Enterobacteriaceae.